This 198-nucleotide ribosomal RNA is filed under the name uncultured bacterium. RNAcentral describes it as "partial 16S ribosomal RNA". It matches the Rfam family "Bacterial small subunit ribosomal RNA", at positions 1304 to 1500 of the family's 1533-position model. The record is from RNAcentral.
UCUGCAACUCGACUACAUGAAGCUGGAAUCGCUAGUAAUCGCGAAUCAGAAUGUCGCGGGUGAAUACGUUCCCGGGUCUUGUACACACCGCCCGUCACACCAUGGGAGUCGGAAAUGCCCGAAGUCAGUGACCUAACCGAAAGGAAGGAGCUGCCGAAGGUGGAGCCGGUAACUGGGGUGAAGUCGUAACAAGGUAAC